Molecule: ribosomal RNA, 492 nt
Filed under: uncultured bacterium
Lineage: Bacteria
Description: partial 16S ribosomal RNA
Rfam family: Bacterial small subunit ribosomal RNA
Source: RNAcentral
GAUGAACGCUAGCUACAGGCUUAACACAUGCAAGUCGAGGGGAAACGACAUCGAAAGCUUGCUUUUGAUGGGCGUCGACCGGCGCACGGGUGAGUAACGCGUAUCCAACCUGCCCAUCACUUGGGAAUAACCUUGCGAAAGUAAGACUAAUACCCAAUGACAUCCCACGAAGACAUCUGAAUGGGAUUAAAGAUUUAUCGGUGAUGGAUGGGGAUGCGUCUGAUUAGCUUGUUGGCGGGGUAACGGCCCACCAAGGCAACGAUCAGUAGGGGUUCUGAGAGGCAGGUCCACCACAUUGGAACUGAGACACGGUCCAAACUCCUACGGGAGGCAGCAGUGAGGAAUAUUGGUCAAUGGGCGAGAGCCUGAACCAGCCAAGUAGCGUGCAGGAUGACGGCCCUAUGGGUUGUAAACUGCUUUUAUAAGGGAAUAAAGUGGGUCUCGUGAGACUUUUUGCAUGUACCUUAUGAAUAAGGACCGGCUAAUUCCGUG